RNAcentral lists this ribosomal RNA (253 nucleotides) under uncultured bacterium. RNAcentral's name for it is "partial 16S ribosomal RNA". It matches the Rfam family "Bacterial small subunit ribosomal RNA", at positions 524 to 776 of the family's 1533-position model. The record is from RNAcentral.
UACGUAGGGUGCAAGCGUUAAUCGGAAUUACUGGGCGUAAAGCGUGCGCAGGCGGUUUUGUAAGUCUGUUGUGAAAUCCCCGGGCUCAACCUGGGAAUGGCAUUUGGGACUGCAAGGCUGGAGUGCGGCAGAGGAGACUGGAAUUCCUGGUGUAGCAGUGAAAUGCGUAGAUAUCAGGAGGAAUACCGAUGGCGAAGGCAGGUCUCUGGGCUGACACUGACGCUCAUGCACGAAAGCGUGGGGAGCAAACAGG